This 147-nucleotide transfer RNA is filed under the name Candidatus Woesearchaeota archaeon. RNAcentral describes it as "tRNA-Pro". The record is from RNAcentral. Lineage: Archaea; Nanobdellati; Candidatus Woesearchaeota.
GGGGCUGUAGUGUAGCCUGGCGAGGGAUGAUCAAGUCCUGCCUCUACCCUUCGGGUAACUAUCACUAAUGGUUUGGGACCAUUGAACCCCGGUUCGAACAGAUUUCACAGAGAGCAUCGUGAAUCUAGGAAAGUCCGGGCAGCCCCA